This 310-nucleotide long non-coding RNA is filed under the name Medicago truncatula (barrel medic). Its description in RNAcentral is "long non-coding RNA (MTRU_LNC006885)". Lineage: Eukaryota; Viridiplantae; Streptophyta; Magnoliopsida; Fabales; Fabaceae. The record is from RNAcentral.
UUAUUUUUUUUGUUUUUUUUUUGAAAGCUUUUCUCCUCUAAGUCCGAUUCUAAAUCCAAAAUUUACAGACAAGCACGCUAUAAGCCUAGAUCUAAACGAAAAGAAAACGUUUAUACCCUUUUCGUGUUGUUCGAACCGUCGGUCUUGGAUUUGAUUUCUGUAUGGUCACCUGAGUCUGGAUCUGCGGUUGGCUCUUGUUUGUCUGUGCGGGUCAGAAUUGUUGUGACUUGGUGGUAUCUGCGUGCGUCUUUGGGAUGCGAUUAUGGCUUUAUCUGUGUUCUGCUUCUUGUGCGCUUCUCUGGAUUUCUCU